This 1593-nucleotide ribosomal RNA is filed under the name Triticum aestivum (bread wheat). RNAcentral describes it as "partial small subunit ribosomal RNA". The record is from RNAcentral. Lineage: Eukaryota; Viridiplantae; Streptophyta; Magnoliopsida; Poales; Poaceae.
AUGUUGUUAGACAACGGUGAACCUUCGAACUAUGAAGAAGCGAUGGCGGGCCCGGAUUCCGACAAAUGGCUAGAAGCCAUGAAAUCCGAGAUAGAAUCCAUGUAUGAAAACAAAGUAUGGACUUUGACUGACUUGCCCGAUGAGCGGCGAGCCAUAGAAAACAAAUGGAUCUUUAAGAAGAAGACGGACGCGGAUGGUAAUGUGACCAUCUACAAAGCUCGACUUGUCGCUAAGGGUUAUCGACAAGUUCAAGGGGUUGACUACGAUGAGACUUUCUCACCCGUAGCGAAGCUGAAGUCCGUCCGAAUCAUGUUAGCAAUUGCCGCAUACUAUGAUUAUGAGAUAUGGCAGAUGGACGUCAAAACGGCAUUCCUUAACGACUUCCUUAAGGAAGAGUUGUAUAUGAUGCAGCCGGAAGGUUUUGUCGAUCCUAAGAAUGCUAACAAAGUGUGCAAGCUCCAGCGCUUAAUCUAUGGGCUGGUGCAAGCAUCUCGGAGUUGGAAUAUUCGCUUUGAUGAGAUGAUCAAAGCGUUUGGGUUUACACAGACUUAUGGAGAAGCCUGUGUUUACAAGAAAGUGAGUGGGAGCUCCGUAGCAUUUCUCAUAUUAUAUGUGGAUGACAUACUAUUGAUGGGAAAUGAUAUAGAAUUCUUGGAAAGUAUAAAGGCCUAUUUGAAUAAGUGUUUUUCAAUGAAGGACCUUGGAGAAGCUGCUUAUAUAUUAGGCAUCAAGAUCUAUAGAGAUAGAUCAAGACGCCUCAUUGGUCUUUCACAGAGUACAUACCUUGACAAGAUAUUGAAGAAGUUCAGUAUGGAUCAGUCCAAGAAGGGGUUCUUGCCUGUAUUGCAUGGUGUGCAAUUGAGCACGGCUCAAUGCCCGACCACGGCAGAAGAUAUAGAAGAGAUGAGUGUCAUCCCCUAUGCCUCGGCCAUAGGGUCUAUUAUGUAUGCCAUGCUGUGUACCAGACCUGAUGUAAACCUUGCCGUAAGUUUGGUAGGAAGGUACCAAAGUAAUCCCGGCAAGGAACACUGGACAACGGUCAAGAAUAUCCUGAAGUACCUGAAGAGGACUAAGGAUAUGUUUCUCGUUUAUGGAGGUGACGAAGAGCUCGUCGUAAAGGGUUACGUCGACGCUAGCUUCGACAUAGAUCUGGAUGACUCGAAGUCACAAACCGGAUACGUGUAUAUUUUGAAUGAAGGAGCAGUAAGUUGGUGCAGUUGCAAGCAAAGCGUCGUGGCGGGAUCUACAUGUGAAGCGGAGUACAUGGCAGCCUCGGAGGCAGCACAGGAAGCAGUCUGGAUGAAGGAGUUCAUUACCGACCUAGGGGUGAUUCCCAAUGCGUCGGGCCCAAUGACUCUCUUCUGUGACAACACUGGAGCUAUUGCCCUUGCGAAGGAGCCCAGGUUUCACAGGAAGACCAGGCAUAUCAAGCGUCGCUUCAACUCCAUUCGUGAAAGUGUUCAAAAUGGAGACAUAGAUAUUUGUAAAGUACACACGGACCUGAAUGUAGCAGAUCCGUUGACUAAACCUCUCCCUAGGGCAAAACAUGAUCAACACCAGGACGCAAUGGGUGUUCGAUUCAGCACAAUGUAA